ACUCUCGUUAGAUUGAAGAAGCUUGCUUCUGAUUGAUAACAUUUGAGUGAGUGGCGGACGGGUGAGUAACACGUGGGUAACCUGCCCUAAAGUGGGGGAUAACAUUUGGAAACAGAUGCUAAUACCGCAUAAAACCUAGCACCGCAUGGUGCAAGGUUGAAAGAUGGUUUCGGCUAUCACUUUAGGAUGGACCCGCGGUGCAUUAGUUAGUUGGUGAGGUAAAGGCUCACCAAGACCGUGAUGCAUAGCCGACCUGAGAGGGUAAUCGGCCACACUGGGACUGAGACACGGCCCAGACUCCUACGGGAGGCAGCAGUAGGGAAUCUUCCACAAUGGACGAAAGUCUGAUGGAGCAACGCCGCGUGAGUGAAGAAGGUUUUCGGAUCGUAAAACUCUGUUGUUGGAGAAGAACGUAUUUGAUAGUAACUGAUCAGGUAGUGACGGUAUCCAACCAGAAAGCCACGGCUAACUACGUGCCAGCAGCCGCGGUAAUACGUAGGUGGCAAGCGUUGUCCGGAUUUAUUGGGCGUAAAGCGAGCGCAGGCGGUUUCUUAAGUCUGAUGUGAAAGCCUUCGGCUCAACCGAAGAAGUGCAUCGGAAACUGGGAAACUUGAGUGCAGAAGAGGACAGUGGAACUCCAUGUGUAGCGGUGAAAUGCGUAGAUAUAUGGAAGAACACCAGUGGCGAAGGCGGCUGUCUGGUCUGUAACUGACGCUGAGGCUCGAAAGCAUGGGUAGCAAACAGGAUUAGAUACCCUGGUAGUCCAUGCCGUAACGAUGAGUGCUAGGUGUUGGAGGGUUUCCGCCCUUCAGUGCCGCAGCUAACGCAUUAAGCACUCCGCCUGGGGAGUACGACCGCAAGGUUGAAACUCAAAGGAAUUGACGGGGGCCCGCACAAGCGGUGGAGCAUGUGGUUUAAUUCGAAGCAACGCGAAGAACCUUACCAGGUCUUGACAUCCUUUGACCACUCUAGAGAUAGAGCUUUCCCUUCGGGGACAAAGUGACAGGUGGUGCAUGGUUGUCGUCAGCUCGUGUCGUGAGAUGUUGGGUUAAGUCCCGCAACGAGCGCAACCCUUAUUACUAGUUGCCAGCAUUUAGUUGGGCACUCUAGUGAGACUGCCGGUGACAAACCGGAGGAAGGUGGGGACGACGUCAAAUCAUCAUGCCCCUUAUGACCUGGGCUACACACGUGCUACAAUGGAUGGUACAACGAGUCGCGAGACCGCGAGGUUUAGCUAAUCUCUUAAAACCAUUCUCAGUUCGGAUUGUAGGCUGCAACUCGCCUACAUGAAGCCGGAAUCGCUAGUAAUCGCGGAUCAGCAUGCCGCGGUGAAUACGUUCCCGGGCCUUGUACACACC
This 1358-nucleotide ribosomal RNA is filed under the name Latilactobacillus curvatus. RNAcentral's name for it is "bacterial SSU rRNA". It matches the Rfam family "Bacterial small subunit ribosomal RNA", at positions 60 to 1391 of the family's 1533-position model. Lineage: Bacteria; Bacillati; Bacillota; Bacilli; Lactobacillales; Lactobacillaceae. The record is from RNAcentral.